Molecule: ribosomal RNA, 497 nt
Filed under: uncultured bacterium
Lineage: Bacteria
Description: partial 16S ribosomal RNA
Rfam family: Bacterial small subunit ribosomal RNA
Source: RNAcentral
GAUGAACGCUGGCGGCGUGCCUAAUACAUGCAAGUCGAGCGAACGGACGAGAAGCUUGCUUCUCUGCUGUUAGCGGCGGACGGGUGAGUAACACGUGGAUAACCUACCUAUAAGACUUGGAUAACUUCGGGAAACCGGAGCUCAUACCGGUUAAUAUUUUGAACCUCAUGGUUCAAAAGUGAAAGACGGUCUUGCUGUCACUUAUAUAUUGAUCCGCGCUUCAUUAGCUAGUUGGUAAGGUAACGGCUUACCAAGGCAACGAUGCAUAGCCGACCUGAGAGAGUGAUCGGCCACACUGGAAAUGAGACACGGUCAAGACGCCUACGGGAGGCAGCAGUAGGGAAUAUUCCGCAAUGGGCGAAAGAAUGACGGAGAAACGCCGCGUGAGUGAUGAAGGUAUUCGGAUCGUAAAACUCUGUUAUUAGGGAAGAAAAGAUGUGUAAGUAACUGUGCACAACUUGACGGUACCUAAUCAGAAAGCCACGGCUAAAUACGUG